RNAcentral lists this ribosomal RNA (450 nucleotides) under uncultured bacterium. RNAcentral describes it as "partial 16S ribosomal RNA". It matches the Rfam family "Bacterial small subunit ribosomal RNA", at positions 354 to 796 of the family's 1533-position model. The record is from RNAcentral.
GUGGGGAAUAUUGGACAAUGGGCGAAAGCCUGAUCCAGCCAUGCCGCGUGUGUGAAGAAGGUCUUCGGAUUGUAAAGCACUUUAAGUUGGGAGGAAGGGCAGUAAGUUAAUACCUUGCUGUUUUGACGUUACCGACAGAAUAAGCACCGGCUAACUUCGUGCCAGCAGCCGCGGUAAUACGAAGGGUGCAAGCGUUAAUCGGAAUUACUGGGCGUAAAGCGCGCGUAGGUGGUUUUGUAAGUUGGAGGUGAAAUCCCCGGGCUCAACCUGGGAACUGCCUCCAAAACUGCAUGACUAGAGUACUGUAGAGGGUAGUGGAAUUUCCUGUGUAGCGGUGAAAUGCGUAGAUAUAGGAAGGAACACCAGUGGCGAAGGCGACUACCUGGACUGAUACUGACACUGAGGUGCGAAAGCGUGGGGAGCAAACAGGAUUAGAAACCCUGGUAGUCC